AUUGAACGCUGGCGGCAUGCCUUACACAUGCAAGUCGAACGGUAACAGGUCUUCGGAUGCCGACGAGUGGCGAACGGGUGAGUAAUACAUCGGAACGUGCCUAGUAGUGGGGGAUAACUACUCGAAAGAGUGGCUAAUACCGCAUGCGAUCUACGGAUGAAAGCAGGGGAUCGCAAGACCUUGUGCUACUAGAGCAGCCGAUGGCAGAUUAGGUAGUGGGUGGGAUAAAAGCUUACCAAGCCGACGAUCUGUAGCUGGUCUGCGAGGACGAUCAGGCACACUGGGACUGAGAAACGGCCCAGACUCCUACGGGAGGCAGCAGUGGGGAAUUGUGGACGAUGGGCGAAAGCCUGAUCCAGCAAUGCCGCGUGCAGGAUGAAGGCCUUCGGGUUGUAAACUGCUUUUGUACGGAACGAAAAGCCCCGGGUUAAUACCCUGGGGUCAUGACGGUACCGUAAGAAUAAGCACCGGCUAACUACGUGCCAGCCGACGCCGUAA
RNAcentral lists this ribosomal RNA (498 nucleotides) under uncultured bacterium. RNAcentral's name for it is "partial 16S ribosomal RNA". It matches the Rfam family "Bacterial small subunit ribosomal RNA", at positions 30 to 523 of the family's 1533-position model. The record is from RNAcentral.